Molecule: long non-coding RNA, 758 nt
Organism: Daphnia pulicaria
Lineage: Eukaryota; Metazoa; Arthropoda; Branchiopoda; Diplostraca; Daphniidae
Exons: 3
Source: RefSeq, a predicted model, not a curated record
UGUAACUGUGUUCGAGAUUGUUUGUUUUUACCGGUUUUUAGUUUUUACGAGGCAAAUUCUACCAGAAAUUUGAUACGUAAAAACAAGUCCCGUAGUUGUAGACUAAUCAUGGUUGUUUAGUGUUACAUAAAUUUUUUGAUUCUACUGUUGCUAGGUAUAUUGUGUCUGACUUUCUGUUGUGUUGUCCGAUUAUCCUAAGGUGUUUGUUCAUAGAAGAUCAUUGGCAUUCCCAAUUGACAACAUCCUGACUAUUUCAUAUAUGUACUAGUACAUCUACUAGUACUAAACACAACUUUAGCUACCAGACAUCAGCUGCUUUAAGACCCAAAAAUUGUCGAUGGAUGAAACAGGCCCUCUCUAACAGAUAAAGGUAGAACUGUACUGCUAUACUUGAACUAGCCUACAUGUGUAAUUGAAACAGUCUGUGGCUAUUUUCACAAAAGAAAUAAGACAACUGUCAAGAUUCUACUAUGUGGAUUGGAUCAGAUCAUCUAUUAAUCCUGCAUCGCUAUUAAGUAUUCGAUGGUGGAAAACUGGAAACUGACGAGAGAUCAGUGACGAUAGUCAUACGAUGUACGAGAUAGUCAUCAUACAAUAAUUCUGGCAUUAUUACGAAAAUUUGAUCAUCCGAGAUAGUCAACAGUACCUCUCACUGGCGUGCCGUCCUUUCGUCGCUCCGAUUGAGCCUGCACCAUGGCCUGAUCCAACUACGCGGCCACCAGCAUCAUUCGACUACCCAACCGACUGCCGGUGAGUCG